This 709-nucleotide ribosomal RNA is filed under the name Bacillus sp. (in: firmicutes). RNAcentral describes it as "bacterial SSU rRNA". It matches the Rfam family "Bacterial small subunit ribosomal RNA", at positions 641 to 1351 of the family's 1533-position model. Lineage: Bacteria; Bacillati; Bacillota; Bacilli; Caryophanales; Bacillaceae. The record is from RNAcentral.
CUUGAGUGCAGAAGAGGAGAGUGGAAUUCCACGUGUAGCGGUGAAAUGCGUAGAGAUGUGGAGGAACACCAGUGGCGAAGGCGACUCUCUGGUCUGUAACUGACGCUGAGGAGCGAAAGCGUGGGGAGCGAACAGGAUUAGAUACCCUGGUAGUCCACGCCGUAAACGAUGAGUGCUAAGUGUUAGGGGGUUUCCGCCCCUUAGUGCUGCAGCUAACGCAUUAAGCACUCCGCCUGGGGAGUACGGUCGCAAGACUGAAACUCAAAGGAAUUGACGGGGGCCCGCACAAGCGGUGGAGCAUGUGGUUUAAUUCGAAGCAACGCGAAGAACCUUACCAGGUCUUGACAUCCUCUGACAAUCCUAGAGAUAGGACGUCCCCUUCGGGGGCAGAGUGACAGGUGGUGCAUGGUUGUCGUCAGCUCGUGUCGUGAGAUGUUGGGUUAAGUCCCGCAACGAGCGCAACCCUUGAUCUUAGUUGCCAGCAUUCAGUUGGGCACUCUAAGGUGACUGCCGGUGACAAACCGGAGGAAGGUGGGGAUGACGUCAAAUCAUCAUGCCCCUUAUGACCUGGGCUACACACGUGCUACAAUGGACAGAACAAAGGGCAGCGAAACCGCGAGGUUAAGCCAAUCCCACAAAUCUGUUCUCAGUUCGGAUCGCAGUCUGCAACUCGACUGCGUGAAGCGGAAUCGCUAGUAAUCGCGGAUCA